RNAcentral lists this long non-coding RNA (200 nucleotides) under Homo sapiens (human). RNAcentral describes it as "HSALNT0240689". The record is from RNAcentral. Lineage: Eukaryota; Metazoa; Chordata; Mammalia; Primates; Hominidae.
GGCAUCUUCUGGAGCAGGUGACUCACUCCAUAUCUCCUCCCCAUCUCCCCUGGACGGUCCCUGAACUUUUCAAGAGAAGUUUUGGAUUUUGGGGGUUUGGGGCAGUUGGUCGGUGGAGUUCAGUGAGAAAAUCAGACCCAGAGAAGGAACCAAAGCCCUUCCGGGCCCAGGCAGCUGGAGACAGGGAGGCUGGAGGUUUG